RNAcentral lists this unclassified non-coding RNA (363 nucleotides) under Hevea brasiliensis (rubber tree). The record is from RNAcentral. Lineage: Eukaryota; Viridiplantae; Streptophyta; Magnoliopsida; Malpighiales; Euphorbiaceae.
AAAAAUACAAAGCUCAUCGACACAAGCCAACACAUCAGUAUACAAGAAAUAGCUGUAUUCCAACUCUAAUUAUUAAAUGGCGAUGGAAAUAGCAUCACAACAAAUUGUACUAAACAUGUUUCUUUUAUCAGACUAAAACCUGUUCUAAUAUCAAACAACUUCAGCAGUAAAUACGAAGAGUAGUCGAAAAUCACAAAAUAAGGAGUACAAGACUAGGCUACUAAGUUGUCACUGCUGUCCAUCACCCGACUCUUGUUUUGAAGCUUCCCUGAUCUCAUCCCCGGCAUCAUCCGUGGUAUCAGAAGUCCAAAGUGUGAGAUUGUCUCGGAGAAGCUGCAUAAUCAAUGUACUGUCCUUGUAAGA